AGAGUGAUUUUAUUCAUUCCAAUUGUGUGUGUACAAAACAAAAAGAUGAGCUCUCCUUUUAUAGUUACAUAAUCACUCCAUGAAAUUAAUGAAAAAUUAUGGAUUAUAAUUUCUUGUGAGAUAGUGGGAGUUAUAGGGAAGUUAAAGGUUGCUAAUGGGAGAUAGUGGGGAGACUAAGAGAUAUAUGUUAUGAACAUUUAUAUUUAUUUUAAUAAAUUCAUAACACUCCCCAUUUGAUAUUCAUUACAAAGAAUAUGCCUCAUUAAACUCUUUACAUAAUUGUUAUUAUAUAAUAACAAUCAAAUUAAUUAUGAGAAGAUAAAAAGCCAAAUCUAAAAGAAAAAUUCUCUAUUUAUUAGAUAAUAGAGAAUAUACAAAGAAGAGAAAUUGUGAUGCCACAUCACCUCCUCAAGUCCCAACUUUAUAUAGAUAUAUAGAUAUAGAUGUUAAACCCCAUUUAAUUUCGUGUUGCAAUUCAUUGUUCAUUUUAGCGACAAAAAUUAAAAGAUUCACAUGAUCUAGACCAUUACUCUCAAUUGAGCUUUCAAUACCUAAUUAAUAAUAUAUUUAAUUACAAACUUUAUAGGUUCUUUGCCACUAACUACAUUAAGCAUAAGAUAACUAAAUUUUUUAAUUAUUAAUGGAGAAUGAGCCCACAGUAUUUAUGAGAGACAAUGUGGUUGUUACAUGGAAUUCUCCACUGAAUAUGCCUCAAACUUUGGAUGAGAUUCACUUCGAUACCUAACUAGAGUGAUUUGGGAAUAUUAUAUAACUAGAGUCUAGAAGAUGAGUGAAUAUUUUUGGUCCAACGGGUGUCAGACUGUCAGAUGCACACUUGGUUUCAUUCAAACUUCAAAAUCAAAGUGGUCAAAAUGAUGUAAAGUUAACCUAAUUUCAUAAGACUCCAAUCAUAGAUAAUUACACCAUCACCCAUCCAUUUCGUUUGUUUUAAACUAUGACAUUUACUUAGUUUUAGAUAGUAUCACAUUCACAUUCUCGGCGCAUGCCCACAAAAACUAAUGACUUUGAAAGAGAGAGAUAAUGACUCUUCACCUUGCAAUAACCAAACAUUUACAUAGUUUCACAUUGUCUUAAUGUAAAACCAUUUUUGGCUUAAUCCUCCUAAAAAAUUUGUCAUUAGCAUUUUCUGACAAGAAGUGCACAUGAUAGCAAUUGACACUAAGGUGCAUCCAUGGAUAAAAUUUUAAAAUAAUUUCAUUCAUCACGUCGUAUUGUUCUCAAUUUUCAAUCUGUAACUUUCAAUGUGGCUUUCUUUCUUUCUUUUUAAGAUACAAGGGGUAGGUAAAUUUUAAACUAAUUUUUUAAUCUUUAUAUCUUCUAAAAUUCGAACUUAAGAGACUAACUAUAAAGAAAAAUUUAAACAAGUGACUGAGUAAAACAAACUGUUUAAAAAUCGCUCGACCAUAACUCCUAAAGACAAUUUUCAAGAUGGCAUUACAUAUAAACAUUUUAAAUAGUAUUUGCACAAAUAGAAAUUAUAAAUUUUAUUUUCACUUAUAUAAAUGGGAUACAAACUCCAAAUUUUUCUUACCACUACAAGAAUUUUUACCGGCUUCUUAGGAUUUUUAUUAUUAGCAUUAUUGUAUCAAUAAUAUUGUAAUUUAUUUCUUCCUAAAAUUUUUCUAAUCUUGGCAUCUAUUAGAUUAGAUUAUAGGAAAUAUUGGAGAAUAUUUUUGGAGGCAUAAAGAAGCAAAUUAGCAUGAACAUGAGGAUUACAUAUCUAAGAGUUCCAAAUAAAGAAAAUUAAUAUAUCGGUAAGUGUAUUAAGUAUUUAUAGAAUAUAAAGGGAAGUAUUUCACACUUUGAUGGCUGCAGAAGACAUAUCGUAUUUUACUUCAAAGAAGCGAGCAACACAUAGAACAAAAAGAAACCCUACCUGAUAGCAUACGAUGUUUCAUAUAUUUAUGAAAUUUUAAUCUUCAAGUCUUUCAUUAGACUAUCUUUAUGAUUACCUUGGCCUCUCAUAAAUGAAGGGUUGUUUGUUGUAUUAAAGGGAUCUCAAGGAAGCAGUAAAUACAAUUAAAGAUGAGUGGGCUUACUAAGUAAGUUCGACUAAUUUAGAUUUAAUAAGGUUGCGACAAGAGUAAGAGGGAGUCUGAAGUUAUGUAAGAUUUCAAUAGAUUAUAAUCUUUUCACUACUCAGUGAACUGCUUAACGUGUGGGCAUGAGCUCAUAAAUGUAAGAUUGUGAUUCAGACCACGUAAAAGUCAUAUGUGUGCUUUAUUUUAUGCAAUCUAUUGUUAUUUGAUAGAUUUAUGGUGAAUGAACAGUACACAAAUAGUGCGAUAAAAUAGGUACAAUGAAUAGUGCCUAUAAACAGUUACUCUUAUGCAUUAUUGUAUGAACAGUGACGGUAAAUAAUAUGUAUAUACCUACUGUAUAAACAAUAUCAUAUAAAUAGUAAUUUGAACAGUAUCGCAUCAAUACUAAUCUGUGAACAAUGAUUUCUGAAUUAAUUAAUUAAGACAAUCAUUUUUAUUUAGGAUUUUAAUUUGUCUAAACUUGUCAAAAUAGAUCUAAAUUCUUAACAAAGUUAAACCGACAAUGCCAACUAAAAUACAACAUAAGCAUUACUUAAUUUUCUGAAAUAGUUUUCUGAAAGACCGAAAUCACUAUCAAAAGAUUCAAACUUCCAAACCAGUCGUAGUAUUGAAUUUUCAAGGCUUGAAAUUUCUGAAAGAGUGACAGAAAGAAAUUAAAUUCAUCAGCUUAUUAAUUCACCGAUGACUUAAUUCCUCAUUAACCAUUGCAGAGCUGAGAUGAGAUGCUCAAGUGUCAAAGCAAAUCAUUUUUGAAAUUCAAAAUUGGACCUACGUUUUAGAUCCAUGGCGUCUUUCCUGAUUCAAAUCUGCGAUUCAAUAUGUCAUGCAAUAUGUCAAGUAUUUUGACUGAAUUUUUUUUUUUUCCUUCAUUUUCAUUUUAAGAAACAAAAAACAAAUUCCGCCUAAUGAAAUUCCCACUUCAGCAAACAUUAUGCAUCGUAUCAUACAUCAUUCUCAACUGUUUGAAUUUUUGUCUUCCUUUUUGGCUUUUCACAUGAAACGAGCUCAAAACUUAGCUUUCUCAAUUAAUUACUUUUUUUUUAUACACGUAUUACAUAAUUAGGCUAAUAAAUUUCUAAGUCUGUGGUCAAUGUGGCAACAAAAAGAAGAAAGUAACCCGAAUCCCUAUGACCCCAAAUAAAACCUAUGUUACACAUUUGUUUUAAUUAAUAAAUUAUACAAGGUCAUCUUGCACGUUCCUUAAGUUCCAUCCACAAAUUAAUUUAUUUCUAAUUAGGUCAAAAUUUAAAAGACCCAAGUAGAAAAAUACAUACUAAUCACAGAAUUCCCGAUAAAUAUUUUCAACUUUCAGAGGGAGGCUUUAACUGAGGUAUAUAUGUUCACAACUUUAAUUAUCUAAAGGACACGAAAUACAACAAUUCAAGUAAUAAUUUAAACAUAUUUAUUACGGGGUCCAUUUCCAAUAAAUGUUUCACAACCAAUAGUACCAAGUACAUUGUUUUCAUCUGAGACAUGACUUUUCGUAAGAUUUGAGUUGAACCACAUUAUCCGAAUUGUGGAUCUUUCUAGUGGUUGAGAUUUGGCAGGCUGAACCUUCUUUUUUUUUUUUUUUUUUAACACUCUUGUUCUUCAAUUAUGAAGCCCUAUGUGAUCUAGCUCUUGUUCUGAACCUUUGGCAAUCUUAUUUUGAUUUAUGACUCCUUACCCACUAGAAAGCAAUGAAUCGAACCGUUUGGGAUAUGGCAUUUGCCCGCAUACGAUUGUGAUGAUAAUCUUUUUCUGUUUUAUUCAGUUUCCUGUAGAUUUCUAAAUUUAUGAACAUUUUUAGGCUGGGACUUUUUU
This 3866-nucleotide long non-coding RNA is filed under the name Citrus x clementina. RNAcentral's name for it is "Citrus clementina (C. clementina) long non-coding RNA (CCLE_LNC000712)". Lineage: Eukaryota; Viridiplantae; Streptophyta; Magnoliopsida; Sapindales; Rutaceae. The record is from RNAcentral.